GACGGUACCGGAAGAAUAAGCACGGGUUAACUUCGUGCCAGCAGCCGCGGUAAUACGUAGGGUGCAAGCGUUUUUGGGAAUUACUGGGCGUAAAGCGUGCGCGGGCGGUUUUGUAAGUCGGAUGUGAAAUCCCGGGGCUCAACCUGGGAAUUGCUUUUGAGACUGCAAGGCUAGAGUAUGGCAGAGGGGGGUAGAAUUCCACGUGUAGCAGUGAAAUGCGUAGAGAUGUGGAGGAACACCGAUGGCGAAGGCAGCCCCCUGGGCCAAUACUGACGCUCAUGCACGAAAGCGUGGGGAGCAAACAGGAUUAG
Molecule: ribosomal RNA, 311 nt
Filed under: uncultured bacterium
Lineage: Bacteria
Description: bacterial SSU rRNA
Rfam family: Bacterial small subunit ribosomal RNA
Source: RNAcentral